AAUGGUCGACUGGUGACGUGCACUUCAUUUAUGUUGUAGGUCACCAGUUUGACUCUCU
RNAcentral lists this microRNA precursor (58 nucleotides) under Echinops telfairi (small Madagascar hedgehog). Lineage: Eukaryota; Metazoa; Chordata; Mammalia; Afrosoricida; Tenrecidae. The record is from RNAcentral.